ACUGAGGAGCUGCGAGCAGCGGCCGAAUUUCGUGAGCGAUUCGCUUCUCGGCGCUUCCGCGGCCGGUGUGUCCCCGGCGUUAAACGCCGGCUUUCAGCCACGCCCCCUGCUGCUUCCGUCUGCUCUCGUCUGUGUUCCAGGCGAGGCGCUGCUCAACUCGAACACGGCCAUUCUCUGCGCCUCCCGUCUUCUUUAAACCGCCAAGAAUCAUUCCACCUACGCACACGCUUCUCUGCUUCAUACCGUUUCGAACUGUCUCGCUUCUCCUCACCAGUUUUAAAGCGUUUUGCCGGAGAUUUCAUCAAGAAAUCCCAUCCCUGUGGUGGCGCGAUCUUCCUGCGUGCUUGUGUGUUUCUAGCGUGGUUCCACUUCGUCUUUAAUAGUGAACUUAUAGUUCACGUGACUAUAACUAGAAUCGUGCAGUACGUGCACGAAUCGUACAAGUGCAGUACGUGGCUAGAGGCGCGCAGGUUCACGCGCGCGAAACAAAAACGGCGGCUUUCUACAGGGCGGGGCCAUGAUGUAGGUGAAAGCCGGUGUGUAAAUGACAAAUAAGGCUUGGGCGCCACCCGGGCGGUAAGUCGUCAAGUAUUUACCGCCCAACGAGAAAAUUUAGUGCCAUUGGCGCUCGGGCGCUUUAAAGGUCCACCCCUGCUCUGUGUUACUCCCCGUCCUUCUCCAUAUCCACCAAUAGAGGACGUAACACAGAGGCAUGUGUUUCAGUUGUGGAAAUUGUAAACAUGGAUUUAUUAAAAGGAUUUUAAAAUGACAAAAAGCUCCAAAUCUAAAAGUACUUAAACACAUUGUUAAAAUGGCCAAGGGUUUACGUUUAAAACAGACAUCGAAUGCUCCCAAACAUUCACAAAACAAAGUCCACUGACUUAAACACAAGUUUGGGAGCCAAGAGGUAACCAGCACUCUGGUCCCUCGUCUGUUAAAAACCUCUAAAAGCUCUUAAGCUUCACUAAGCUUAAAGAACUAAAAGCCAUUAAAACACAAACAAAUGGAGCACAUGAGAGAACUGGCACAGAUCCAGUCUCUCCCUUACUCCUGGCAGCUCUCCCUUUUAUGCUGCUCAGGAGGUGAUCAGCCCAAGUGAGUGCAGCUGUGCAGGUAGGAGGAGGAGGCGAUGCACUGAUUGUCCUCUGCAGUGUUAGCCUGGCAAGCCAGACUAAAUAAAUGUAUUAUUUAGUCUGGCCAUGCUCCAUUGACGGCUCUCGGUUGUGGGGCGGGUUCUACCGUUGUCUUUCAAAUUAUCUCCGCAUUCCACUGGACAAUGAAUGUGACAUACUCUUGUUUCACUCUGUUGCAUCAUCCCACCCACCAGGCAUAUAGAGUGCCCUGAUUGGCCCACAAAGCGGAUAAAGCUCUGUGAUUUGUUCACUAAGCAGAUAGAGCACUAUGAUUGGCCCACCAUUAUGGACCAAUCACAGCUCUUUAUGUGUUUGAAACCCCUCUAGAGAGCUGUGAUUGGCUAGCCAGAGUCCUGGUAGGAGCUGCUGAGGUUCCAAUGGAGCAUGCCUAGACCAUUCUUUGCAAAGCAAGAAUUUGGUCUAGUUCACUAGGCUANNNNNNNNGCUCCAUUGACGGCUCUCGGUUGUGGGGCGGGUUCUACCGUUGUCUUUCAAAUGAUCUCCGCAUUCCACUGGACAAUGAAUGUGACAUACUCUUGUUUCACUCUGUUGCAUCAUCCCACCCACCAGGCAUAUAGAGUGCCCUGAUUGGCCCACAAAGCGGAUAAAGCUCUGUGAUUUGUUCACUAAGCAGAUAGAGCACUAUGAUUGGCCCACCAUUAUGGACCAAUCACAGCUCUUUAUGUGUUUGAAACCCCUCUAGAGAGCUGUGAUUGGCUAGCCAGAGUCCUGGUAGGAGCUGCUGAGGUUCCAAUGGAGCAUGCCUAGACCAUUCUUUGCAAAGCAAGAAUUUGGUCUAGUUCACUAGGCUACUGCAGUGUCUGUUUUCUGAGGUAAACAGCAACAUCUGUAACACUGAUCACGUGACGUGUGACGUACGCGGAUGAAGAUCGGCUUUAGAGCUGGGAUGUUUGUUCUCACGGUGCGGGGGCUCGUUCCGACGCCCACACAGUAAAAAAAUGCCAAUGACAGUUAGAGUUGUUAAAGUGCUGAAAGGAAGUAGGGCUGAAACGAGUCAUCAAAUGGUUCGAUUCAUUUAGUUCCUCGAUUCAUUUUUUUACUGAUUUGAAGCUUCGUUAAACGUGCGCUCCACAGUCUGAACACAUUUUACUGGAGCUCUACGUGGUGAUCUCGGUGCUGUGGCGGAAAUAAGAGAAACCAGCAACGACAGAAACCAUUGUUAGAGGCAGAAACGGUCCAACGUUUGGAUCAAGAGCAGGGAUUAAAGUUCUCUGUCGUGGCGACGGAAAUCCGUCAGUUGGAAUGAUCAGAAAAAAGUUCUGUCAAAAUCUCUCUCUCGCUCACUCUCUUCUGUUGCUAACUAGAACUCACACCGGUGUUAAAAUGCGUUUCUCCCAUCGACAUAUAUACAUACAUGUAUAUGUGGUUUCUCCACCAUUCUGCACCGCCCAAGCAGUGUUGCCAACUGUUUUUGACUAAAAGUAGCUGAAGUUCCCCCCAAAAGUCGCUAGAUGUCGCCAGAUGAUGUCACGUGCUAAUUUGCAUACGACGCAAUGACGUCAUCUGGUUUGUGUGAUGACGACACCACGUUUGCGUCAUGACGUCACCGGUCUUGUAGAGUAAAUCAAAUAAAACCCACGUGAUUUUAUUAAAAAAUAAUUUUAUUUAUUUUUUAAUAUUUUAUUAAAAUAAAAAACCCCAUAGAAUACAAAACAGCAGCCUUUAAAACAUCAAGGAGAGAUGGCACAAAAAAUGGAAGGAAUAUUUCUAUUUUGUCUGAAGAGAAUGGAACUCGUAAACACAAAAAUAUUAAAUUGAUAGGAAUGCAUGUUUGACUGAAUUAAAAUGAAUUUUCUCUUGUAAUCUUCACUUGUCUCCUGAUUCGAGUCGAUUACGAUUAUUGGGUCAAUGAUUCAAUUUGAUUCGAUAUCCCGAUGCAUCACGAUUAUUUCAUAUUGAUUUGUUUUUAUCGAUAAAUAGAAGAUGCCAGAUAAUUGCUUCUUAUUUUUAGUUUAUAUCAAAAAUGUAAUUGACACAACCUGCCAUCCCUCAAAAGCUCUCCAUUAACAACAGGUUAGGACAAAACUUUUUAAACAUUUAAGAAGAUUUAACAAAGUAAAACAAUCUGUUUCCUGGUUCAACACCACGCCUCAGCCUGAGAAAAACACGCUUUGCAAAAACUCACAAAAUCUAAAAAAGUACUGAAAACCUGCAGGACACAUAAUGUAAUAAUAAAAUACAUCAUGGGUUCAUAUAUGAGUGUUUAAUGU
Molecule: long non-coding RNA, 3364 nt
Organism: Nothobranchius furzeri (turquoise killifish)
Lineage: Eukaryota; Metazoa; Chordata; Actinopteri; Cyprinodontiformes; Nothobranchiidae
Source: Ensembl